Patella vulgata (common limpet) is the source of this 566-nucleotide long non-coding RNA. RefSeq lists it as uncharacterized. NCBI's taxonomy places the organism in Eukaryota, Metazoa, Mollusca, Gastropoda, Patellidae. The record is from RefSeq and is a predicted model, not a curated record. The transcript has 3 exons.
CGUAGCGUGUUCCACACGAACAUCUCAAAUUUAAUUACAAAAGGAAAACAGAUUUUUAGUUUUAAUUCGCAAAGAUGACACCGUUGUUAAAUUUAAUAAUUCUUUCGAUAUUGUGCCAUGUGGUUCACACGCAUCCAUUUUCUGAAUUUUCAGAAACCAACAUCAUUACUGAUACGUGCGCGAAAAAUGGAUUGUUAUUAACCACUGCUCGUUCUAGAAUAGAUUGUGGUACCUCUUGUAGUGCGAAUCCUGAAUGUCGACGAUACGUAUUUUGUUUUUCUGAUUCAACAUGUACAUUAUAUCAGGACGGCACUGAUUGUGUUCUUGCUGGAGAUUCGUCUAGCUGUACUUGUUAUAGGAAGAAUAUUGGACGGAAUUUAGAUGCUACUACCACAUGUCCCAUGGGAUACUACGAUAACUGCCAGAGUGUUGUCAAAGACUGUGGUGAAGCGUUUGAUAAAGAUAUGCAGUUGAAUUUUGUGAACAAAUACAUACUGACAUACAUAAAACCAGUGAUGUCACCAGCACCAUUUGAGGUUAAAUGUGUAUUAAAUUCUGGUGGACAG